AGUGAACGCUGGCGGCGUGCUUAACACAUGCAAGUCGAACGAGAACGGGUUAUAGUUUACUAUAAUUGACAGCUAAGUGGCACACGGGUGAGUAAUGUAUAGGUAAUAUGCCUUUUACUAAGGGAUAACAAUUGGAAACGGUUGCUAAUACCUUAUAUUCCUUAUUAACAUGAAGUUAAUAGGGGAAAGAUUUAUCGGUAAGAGAUUAGCCUGUAUUGUAUCAGUUAGUUGGUGGGGUAAUGGCCUACCAAGACAAUGACGCAUAACUGGUUUGAGAGGAUGAUCAGUCAAACUGGAACUGAGACACGGUCCAGACUCCUACGGGAGGCAGCAGUGGGGAAUAUUGCACAAUGGACGGAAGUCUGAUGCAGCAACGCCGCGUGGAGGAUGACACAUUUCGGUGCGUAAACUCCUUUUAUAUAGGAAGAUAAUGACGGUAUUAUAUGAAUAAGCACCGGCUAACUCCGUGCCAGCAGCCGCAGUAA
This 485-nucleotide ribosomal RNA is filed under the name uncultured bacterium. RNAcentral describes it as "partial 16S ribosomal RNA". It matches the Rfam family "Bacterial small subunit ribosomal RNA", at positions 29 to 523 of the family's 1533-position model. The record is from RNAcentral.